UUGGAGGGCAAGUCUGGUGCCAGCAGCCGCGGUAAUUCCAGCCCCAAUAGCGUAUAUUAAAGUUGUUGCAGUUAAAAAGCUCGUAGUUGAACCUCGGGAUCAAUGGGUCGGUCAUGCCAAUGGUAUGUACUGGCCUCAUUGGUUCUCACCUUCUAAGGAACCAUGAUGUCAUUCAUUUGAUGUUGUGGGGAAUUAGGACUGUUACCUUGAAAAAAUUAGAGUGUUUAAAGCAGGCUAACGCUUGAAUACAUUAGCAUGGAAUAAUGAAAUAGGACAUCGCAUUCUAUUUUGUUGGUUUCUAGGAUCGAUGUAAUGAUUAAUAGGGAUAGUUGGGGGCAUUAGUAUUCAAUUGUCAGAGGUGAAAUUCUUGGAUUUAUUGAAGACUAACUACUGCGAAAGCAUUUGCCAAGGAUGUUUUCAUUAAUCAAGAACGAAAGUUAGGGGAUCGAAGACGAUCAGAUACCGUCGUAGUCUUAACCAUAAACUAUGCCGACUAGGGAUCGGAUGAUGUUGAUUUUUUAAUGACUCAUUCGGCACCUUACGGGAAACCAAAGUGUUUGGGUUC
This 565-nucleotide ribosomal RNA is filed under the name uncultured Septoglomus. Its description in RNAcentral is "SSU rRNA". It matches the Rfam family "Eukaryotic small subunit ribosomal RNA", at positions 548 to 1114 of the family's 1831-position model. The record is from RNAcentral. Lineage: Eukaryota; Fungi; Glomeromycota; Glomeromycetes; Glomerales; Glomeraceae.